AUUGAACGCUGGCGGCAGGCCUAACACAUGCAAGUCGAACGGUAACAGAAAGUAGCUUGCUACUUUGCUGACGAGUGGCGGACGGGUGAGUAAUGUCUGGGGAUCUGCCUGAUGGAGGGGGAUAACUACUGGAAACGGUAGCUAAUACCGCAUAAUGUCGCAAGACCAAAGCGGGGGACUUUCGGGCCUCACACCAUCAGAUGAACCCAGAUGGGAUUAGCUAGUAGGUAAGGUAAUGGCUUACCUAGGCGACGUCCCCUAGCUGGUCUGAGAGGAUGACCAGCCACACUGGAACCGAGCCACGGUCCAGACUCCUACGGGAGGCAGCAGUGGGGAAUAUUGCACAAUGGGCGCAAGCCUGAUGCAGCCAUGCCGCGUGUAUGAAGAAGGCCUUCGGGUUGUAAAGUACUUUCAGUCAGGAGGAAGGGUGUGAAAUUAAUACUUUCAUGCAUUGACGUUACUGACAGAAUAAGCACCGGCUAACUACGUGCCAGCCGCCGCCGUAA
RNAcentral lists this ribosomal RNA (506 nucleotides) under uncultured bacterium. Its description in RNAcentral is "partial 16S ribosomal RNA". It matches the Rfam family "Bacterial small subunit ribosomal RNA", at positions 30 to 523 of the family's 1533-position model. The record is from RNAcentral.